UCAUAAGUCAUCCAGUGGGCUAGGCACGGUGGCUGACACCUAUAAUCCCCACACUUUCAGCCUGCCAAAGUGCCUUUUUUUGUGCCUUUCACAUAAAGACUAUGACACAGCUAAGCUAUUCAUGUACUAAUAAAUACCUGCCCUGAGCUGUGUGACCACGGACACCACCCUAUAAUGUGGCCAGUGUGUAGGAACUCUGCAGGCUCAGAUCAUUCCAGACAUACAUGCAGAUGUUGGAACUCCCUUGCACAGUGACUCAUGAUCCCAAGGCUGAGUGCUGAGGGCAGGAUUAACCUCAGCGAUUGUUGCUGGCAUCAGUGCAGCCCUGGGACCAGAGCACACCUGGGUGACUCGAAGAAGCCUUCCAAAAAGCGUGUGAAAAGGAAGCCCUACUCUACUACCAAGGUGACUUCAGGGAGCACAUUCAAUGAGAAUACAAGAAGAUAUGCUGUGCACACCAACCAGUGUAGGAGACCUCAUGGCUCCCGGGUAAAGAAGAAGAGGUACCCACAAGAAGAUGACUUCCAUCAUACAGUCUUCAGCAACCUUGAAAGAUUGGACAAGCUUCAGCCCACUCUUGAAGCCUCUGAGGAGUCUCUAGUUCACAAGGACAGAGGAGAUGGAGAGAGGCCAGUCAACGUGAAGGUGGUGCAGGUGGCCCCUCUGAGGCGUGAAUCUACUCCCCAUGAGGACACCGUACACAACAUCACUAACGAGGAUGCCUCAC
RNAcentral lists this long non-coding RNA (727 nucleotides) under Homo sapiens (human). Its description in RNAcentral is "family with sequence similarity 230 member J". Lineage: Eukaryota; Metazoa; Chordata; Mammalia; Primates; Hominidae. The record is from RNAcentral.